CUAGAAAAACUUAGCGGCGAACGGGUGAGUAACACGUAAAGAACCUGCCUCAUAGACUGGGACAACUAUUGGAAACGAUAGCUAAUACCGGAUAACAGUAUUUCUCGCAUGAGAGAUAUUUAAAAGUUGGUUAUGCUAACACUAUGAGAUGGCUUUGCGGUGCAUUAGCUAGUUGGUGGGGUAAAGGCCCACCAAGGCGACGAUGCAUAGCCGACCUGAGAGGGUGAUCGGCCACACUGGGACUGAGACACGGCCCAGACUCCUACGGGAGGCAGCAGUAGGGAAUCUUCCGCAAUGGGCGAAAGCCUGACGGAGCAACGCCGCGUGAGUGAAGAAGGAUUUCGGUUCGUAAAGCUCUGUUGUUAGGGAAGAAUGGAUAUGUAGUAACUAUACAUAUAAGAGACGGUACCUAACCAGAAAGCCACGGCUAACUACGUGCCAGCAGCCGCGGUAAUACGUAGGUGGCAAGCGUUGUCCGGAAUUAUUGGGCGUAAAGCGCGCGCAGGUGGUUUAAUAAGUCUGAUGUGAAAGCCCACGGCUCAACCGUGGAGGGUCAUUGGAAACUGUUAAACUUGAGUGCAGGAGAGAAAAGUGGAAUUCCUAGUGUAGCGGUGAAAUGCGUAGAGAUUAGGAGGAACACCAGUGGCGAAGGCGGCUUUUUGGCCUGUAACUGACACU
This 678-nucleotide ribosomal RNA is filed under the name uncultured Bacilli bacterium. RNAcentral describes it as "bacterial SSU rRNA". It matches the Rfam family "Bacterial small subunit ribosomal RNA", at positions 82 to 747 of the family's 1533-position model. Lineage: Bacteria; Bacillati; Bacillota; Bacilli. The record is from RNAcentral.